This 402-nucleotide ribosomal RNA is filed under the name bacterium. Its description in RNAcentral is "partial 16S ribosomal RNA". It matches the Rfam family "Bacterial small subunit ribosomal RNA", at positions 355 to 776 of the family's 1533-position model. The record is from RNAcentral.
UGGGGAAUUUUGCACAAUGGGGGAAACCCUGAUGCAGCGACGCCGCGUGAUUUAGAAGGCCUUCGGGUUGUAAAAAUCUAUUCUAUGGGAAGAAAAUGACAGUACCAUAGGAAUAAGGACCGGCUACUUACGUGCCAGCAGCCGCGGUAAUACGUAAGGUCCGAGCGUUGUCCGGAAUCAUUGGGCGUAAAGGGUACGUAGGCGGGUAAGCAAGUUAGAAGUGAAAUCCUAUAGCUCAACUAUAGUAAGCUUUUAAAACUGCUCAUCUUGAGGUAUGGAAGGGAAGGAGGAAUUCCUAGUGUAGCGGUGAAAUGCGCAGAUAUUAGGAGGAAUACCGGUGGCGAAGGCGACUUUCUGGCCAUAACCUGACGCUGAGGUACGAAAGCGUGGGUAGCAAACAGG